RNAcentral lists this small nuclear RNA (281 nucleotides) under Chinchilla lanigera (long-tailed chinchilla). RNAcentral describes it as "7SK RNA (ENSCLAG00000021553.1)". It matches the Rfam family "7SK RNA". From Rfam's summary of the family: 7SK was discovered as an abundant small nuclear RNA in the mid-70s but a possible function has only recently been suggested. Two independent studies have found that 7SK RNA binds the CDK9/cyclin T complex (known as elongation factor P-TEFb). The record is from RNAcentral. Lineage: Eukaryota; Metazoa; Chordata; Mammalia; Rodentia; Chinchillidae.
GGGAGGGUGACCUGGCUGCGACAUCUGUCACCCCAUUGAUUUCCAGGGUUAAUUUGGCUGAUCUGGCUGGCUGGGCCGGCGUCCUCUUCCUCCCUCAAUGCUCCAUGUGCAUCUCUCCCAAAGCCGCGUGCUCAGUUGAAGAGGACGACCACCCCUGAUGAAGGAGGACUGUUCUUUUGUGAAGGGUAUACAAGUAGCUGCGCUCCCCUGCUAGAACCUCCGAACAAGUUUUCACGAAAUUUAGUGGUUGUCAGCAGUGCAGGGUGAGGGAGAGUAGAUGU